Molecule: long non-coding RNA, 377 nt
Organism: Penaeus monodon (black tiger shrimp)
Lineage: Eukaryota; Metazoa; Arthropoda; Malacostraca; Decapoda; Penaeidae
Exons: 2
Source: RefSeq, a predicted model, not a curated record
CACCUCAGAGUUGCUGGGAAGAGGGAAGCGCACUGCCAUUCUGGACUCGAAGCUGAGGCAUCAAACAGUGAGUAUAUAUUGCCAUGGUCUAUAUGCAUGAUUCCUCUUGGCUGUGAGGGGAGAUUAUCUGUUACCACAUUUCAGGCUUAGCAGAUACUGAGGAUGACACAGGCUUUUCAUUUAUUAACUUAUGUUCUGGACACGGCUUUUGUGAUCUCAAUCUAAUGCUGGGGUUUCUUCUUCCAGUUAUUAUUUAUGGUCUCUUUUAUUUCUCCUACUCCUAGUUUGUCUUUUUCUUUCUUCAUCAUUUGAUUACUAUUUUAUGUCCAUGAAUUUUUGACCAGCAUAAUAAUUUAGCAGUUAAAAUUUGUAAAAAA